UAGGUGGUUACGGGGGGGCGGGGGGGGGGGGGGGGGGGGGGGGGGGGGGGGGGGGGGGGGGGGGGGGGGGGGGGGGGGGGGGGGGGGGGGGGGGGGGGGGGGGGGGGGGGGGGGGGGGGGGGGGGGGGGGGGGGGGGGGGGGGGGGGGGGGGGGGGGGGGGGGGGGGGGGGGGGGGGGGGGGGGGGGGGGGGGGGGGGGGGGGGGGGGGGGGGGGGGGGGGGGGGGGGGGGGGGGGGGGGGGGGGGGGGGGGGGGGGGGGGGGGGGGGGGGGGGGGGGGGGGGGGGGGGGGGGGGGGGGGGGGGGGGGGGGGGGGGGGGGGGGGGGGGGGGGGGGGGGGGGGGGGGGGGGGGGGGGGGGGGGGGGGGGGGGGGGGGGGGGGGGGGGGGGGGGGGGGGGGGGGGGGGGGGGGGGGGGGGGGGGGGGGGGGGGGGGGGGGGGGGGGGGGGGGGGGGGGGGGGGGGGGGGGGGGGGGGGGGGGGGGGGGGGGGGGGGGGGGGGGGGGGGGGGGGGGGGGGGGGGGGGGGGGGGGGGGGGGGGGGGGGGGGGGGGGGGGGGGGGGGGGGGGGGGGGGGGGGGGGGGGGGGGGGGGGGGGGGGGGGGGGGGGGGGGGGGGGGGGGGGGGGGGGGGGGGGGGGGGGGGGGGGGGGGGGGGGGGGGGGGGGGGGGGGGGGGGGGGGGGGGGGGGGGGGGGGGGGGGGGGGGGGGGGGGGGGGGGGGGGGGGGGGGGGGGGGGGGGGGGGGGGGGGGGGGGGGGGGGGGGGGGGGGGGGGGGGGGGGGGGGGGGGGGGGGGGGGGGGGGGGGGGGGGGGGGGGGGGGGGGGGGGGGGGGGGGGGGGGGGGGGGGGGGGGGGGGGGGGGGGGGGGGGGGGGGGGGGGGGGGGGGGGGGGGGGGGGGGGGGGGGGGGGGGGGGGGGGGGGGGGGGGGGGGGGGGGGGGGGGGGGGGGGGGGGGGGGGGGGGGGGGGGGGGGGGGGGGGGGGGGGGGGGGGGGGGGGGGGGGGGGGGGGGGGGGGGGGGGGGGGGGGGGGGGGGGGGGGGGGGGGGGGGGGGGGGGGGGGGGGGGGGGGGGGGGGGGGGGGGGGGGGGGGGGGGGGGGGGGGGGGGGGGGGGGGGGGGGGGGGGGGGGGGGGGGGGGGGGGGGGGGGGGGGGGGGGGGGGGGGGGGGGGGGGGGGGGGGGGGGGGGGGGGGGGGGGGGGGGGGGGGGGGGGGGGGGGGGGGGGGGGGGGGGGAUAGAAACAUGUCAUGUUUAAAAAAUGCAUGUUUACAUAGUAUUGCAGCUCAAGAGGAAUUGGGGGGGGUUCAUUUUUUU
This 1311-nucleotide long non-coding RNA is filed under the name Felis catus (domestic cat). RNAcentral describes it as "lncRNA (ENSFCAG00000048418.1)". The record is from RNAcentral. Lineage: Eukaryota; Metazoa; Chordata; Mammalia; Carnivora; Felidae.